RNAcentral lists this microRNA (21 nucleotides) under Marchantia polymorpha subsp. ruderalis. The record is from RNAcentral. Lineage: Eukaryota; Viridiplantae; Streptophyta; Marchantiopsida; Marchantiales; Marchantiaceae.
CAGACCUAGAAUAUGAUGCAC